GUCCACGCCCUAAACGAUGUCUACUAGUUGUUGGUGGAGUAAAUCCAUGAGUAACGCAGCUAACGCGUGAAGUAGACCGCCUGGGGAGUACGGUCGCAAGAUUAAACUCAAAGGAAUUGACGGGGCCCGCACAAGCGGUGGAUUAUGUGGAUUAAUUCGAUGCAACGCGAAAACCUUACCUGGCCUUGACAUGCCACUAACGAAGCAGAGAUGCAUUAGGUGCUAGAAAGAGAAAGUGGACACAGGUGCUGCAUGGCUGUCGU
This 263-nucleotide ribosomal RNA is filed under the name uncultured bacterium. Its description in RNAcentral is "partial 16S ribosomal RNA". It matches the Rfam family "Bacterial small subunit ribosomal RNA", at positions 793 to 1055 of the family's 1533-position model. The record is from RNAcentral.